RNAcentral lists this ribosomal RNA (1365 nucleotides) under uncultured bacterium. RNAcentral's name for it is "bacterial SSU rRNA". It matches the Rfam family "Bacterial small subunit ribosomal RNA". The record is from RNAcentral.
UUACACAUGCAAGUCGAACGGCAGCACGGGGCAACCUGGUGGCGAGUGGCGAACGGGUGAGUAAAGCAUCGGAACGUACCCUAGAGUGGGGGAUAACUAUCCGAAAGGAUAGCUAAUACCGCAUAUUCUAUGAGUAGGAAAGCGGGGGAUCUUCGGACCUCGCGCUCUAGGAGCGGCCGAUGUCAGAUUAGGUAGUUGGUGGGGUAAAGGCCUACCAAGCCGACGAUCUGUAGCGGGUCUGAGAGGAUGAUCCGCCACACUGGGACUGAGACACGGCCCAAAAUCCUACGGGAAGCAGCAAUGGGGAAUAUUGGGCCAUGGGCCAAAGACCUGUGACCCCACCCGCGCCCGUGUGGGGGAAGAGUGUCUGCAGAUUGUACCUCUAUGUCCUAUGGGACGAAGAAGUGACGGUACCAUAGGAGGAAGCUCCGGCUAACUACGUGCCAGCAGCCGCGGUAAUACGUAGGGAGCAAGCGUUGUCCGGAAUUACUGGGCGUAAAGGGUGCGUAGGUGGCUAUUUAAGUCAGGUGUGAAAGACCGGGGCUCAACUCCGGGGUUGCACUUGAAACUGGGUGGCUUGAGUACAGGAGAGGGAAGUGGAAUUCCUAGUGUAGCGGUGAAAUGCGUAGAUAUUAGGAGGAACACCAGUGGCGAAGGCGACUUUCUGGACUGUAACUGACACUGAGGCACGAAAGCGUGGGGAGCAAACAGGAUUAGAUACCCUGGUAGUCCACGCCGUAAACGAUGGAUACUAGGUGUGGGGCCCGAUAGGGUUCCGUGCCGAAGCAAACGCAUUAAGUAUCCCGCCUGGGGAGUACGAUCGCAAGGUUGAAACUCAAAGGAAUUGACGGGGGCCCGCACAAGCAGCGGAGCAUGUGGUUUAAUUCGACGCAACGCGAAGAACCUUACCAGGUCUUGACAUCCAGUUAAAGCUGUUGAAAGAUAGUGUCCCUUCGGGGGAACUGAGACAGGUGGUGCAUGGUUGUCGUCAGCUCGUGUCGUGAGAUGUUGGGUUAAGUCCCGCAACGAGCGCAACCCUUAUUGAUAGUUACUAACGCGUAGAGGCGAGGACUCUAUUGAGACUGCCGGGGACAACUCGGAGGAAGGUGGGGACGACGUCAAAUCAUCAUGCCCCUUAUGACCUGGGCUACACACGUGCUACAAUGGCCGACACAGAGAGAAGCGAAAGCGCGAGCCGGAGCGGAUCUCAAAAAAGCGGUCGAAGUUCGGAUUGUGGGCUGCAACCCGCCCACAUGAAGUCGGAGUUGCUAGUAAUCGCGGAUCAGCAUGCCGCGGUUGAAUACGUUCCCGGGCCUUGUACACACCGCCCGUCACACCAUGGGAGUUGGUAGCACCCGAAGGCAG